GACGAACGCUGGCGGCGUGCUUAACACAUGCAAGUCGAACGGUGAAGGCGGAGCUUGCUCUGCCGGAUCAGUGGCGAACGGGUGAGUAACACGUGGGCAACCUGCCCCUCACUUCGGGAUAACUCCGGGAAACCGGGGCUAAUACCGGAUACGACCUCCUUGGGCAUCUUUGGAGGUGGAAAGUUUUUCGGUGAGGGAUGGGCCCGCGGCCUAUCAGCUUGUUGGUGGGGUAGUGGCUCACCAAGGCGACGACGGGUAGCCGGCCUGAGAGGGCGACCGGCCACACUGGGACUGAGACACGGCCCAGACUCCUACGGGAGGCAGCAGUGGGGAAUAUUGCGCAAUGGGCGAAAGCCUGACGCAGCAACGCCGCGUGCGGGAUGAAGGCCUUCGGGUUGUAAACCGCUUUCAGCAGGGAAGAAGCCGCAAGGUGGCGGUACCUGCAGAAGAAGCACCGGCUAACUACGUGCCAGCCGCCGCCGUAA
Molecule: ribosomal RNA, 485 nt
Filed under: uncultured bacterium
Lineage: Bacteria
Description: partial 16S ribosomal RNA
Rfam family: Bacterial small subunit ribosomal RNA
Source: RNAcentral